AAAGUCGUAACAAGGUUUCCGUAGGUGAACCUGCGGAAGGAUCAUUACAAAUCCAUCCACGUCUCAUACCCUGAGACCACGUUGAAAUGUUCCCCAGGACCGCAGCCCCUCGGCGGAGGUGCCGUGCCCCCGGAUUCGGGGUGCGCGCGCCUCUCCCUGGACGCACGGCCUGGGCUGUUAAACUAGUCAUCUCUGUUGCUCAAAUGUAUCUUGAUUUCAAUCAAACGAAAACUUGUACAACUUAUAACAAUGGAUCUCUAGGCUCUU
Molecule: unclassified non-coding RNA, 267 nt
Filed under: Ascomycota sp.
Lineage: Eukaryota; Fungi; Ascomycota
Description: partial contains small subunit ribosomal RNA, internal transcribed spacer 1, and 5.8S ribosomal RNA
Rfam family: Eukaryotic small subunit ribosomal RNA (bases 1-47)
Source: RNAcentral